RNAcentral lists this ribosomal RNA (443 nucleotides) under Stylocellus sp. Borneo 2. RNAcentral describes it as "eukaryotic LSU rRNA". It matches the Rfam family "Eukaryotic large subunit ribosomal RNA", at positions 672 to 1083 of the family's 3401-position model. The record is from RNAcentral. Lineage: Eukaryota; Metazoa; Arthropoda; Arachnida; Opiliones; Stylocellidae.
AGUGUAACAUGUGCGCGAGUCAUUGGGUCUUGCUCAGGCCCAAAGGNGCAANNAAAGUGAAGNCCGCCCCGGUCGGCUGCGUUGGGAUCCCGCAUGCAUUNGCGGNCGCACCAACGGCCCCGUCCCGAUCGCCGCGUCGACGGGGCGGAGUGAGAGCGUACACGUUGGGACCCGAAAGAUGGUGAACUAUGCCUGGGCAGGANGAAGCCAGAGGAAACUCUGGUGGAGGUCCGCAGCGAUUCUGACGUGCAAAUCGAUCGUCAGACCUGGGUAUAGGGGCGAAAGACUAAUCGAACCAUCUAGUAGCUGGUUCCCUCCGAAGUUUCCCUCAGGAUAGCUGGCGCUCGGAGGAAGGCAUUCUCAUCCGGUAAAGCGAAUGAUUAGAGGCCUUGGGGCCGAAACGACCUCAACCUAUUCUCAAACUUUAAAUGGGUGAGAAGUCC